Non-coding RNA from Bactrocera oleae (olive fruit fly), 1664 nucleotides. The record is from RefSeq and is a predicted model, not a curated record. NCBI's taxonomy places the organism in Eukaryota, Metazoa, Arthropoda, Insecta, Diptera, Tephritidae.
CAAUAGACACAAUUGACGCUGAUGAUGCGAGCCGCAAACACGAAGAUACUUGAGCUGUGCGUUUUUUAAAAUACGUCACUUUGAUUAAUGAAUGCCGGAGAUUUUGAAAAACUAAAACAAUAACAACAUUAACGAGUGGAUAUUUCAAACAGUUGUGUACAUUUUUUUUUAAAUUUUUUAUUUAUUUUGGCAGCUAACAAGAAAUGCGCAGGAGCGCCGACAAGGCAUGUGGCGUAGUGUGGAAAAAAAUCGAACAUUACCGAAAUGCUGAAAUGUUUUCAUUGUAGGUUUCUCAUAAUGUCAACAAUGUGUGUGUUAUAAAGCAGACAGGGUCAAAACAGGCUGUAAUAAAAAGAACCACUCUUAUCUGGACUUUACGUCCAGAGUUCAAAAUCUAUUUUCUAAAACAUGGAGAUUUAUGAACUUUUGAAGUCACAGACACCACCAUAAUCUAAGCUUUAUUUCCUGGAAUCAAAAUCUGUCCACUAAAACAAUCAGAUAGCUGGGUAUACAUCCAGACACCACCAUAAUGAACUGUUGAGAUUACAUCUUCAUCCUAACCUGCUAUUCCGAGGUUGAUGGGAUUUUGAGAUCUCAGAUGAAAAGGUUUUCAUAUUUCUUUGCCUCCGAGAAACCAGAUUGAUUUCAAAUAAAUAGAACUAAGUAAGAGAGAUAUUACAAAUGGAGCUAUGCAGAAUUAUUUCCUUUCUCCAGCAAGUAAAAAUAUGGAUACACAUCAGUAGCUACGAUCAUGCUAAUGACGCCUUCCACAGCUUAUCGAAGGUCAAUUGAUUACACUUUUUAUUUUUUGGUUUGCUGCGAAGAUCAAACGAUGUUGACUUCGAUAGGAAUGGCAAAAAUGUCUUGGAACAAGAAACAGAGAAUCGUAAGCAUGUAAUUUCGUAUGGAGUUCAAUGUUUACAUACAUUUUGACAGUGCAAAGAUCCUAUUUCGAAACAAGAAUGUGAAAAUCUAAGACCUCCCUUCAAAGGAGGCUCUAUUUCUUUGUCAACUAUCAUCGUGCAAAUGAAUUUCCUACAAGGCCUGAUUGCUUAUAUAUAACAAAUCCAAUAAUUUAUGCCAUAUGUGUUGGUGGCAACAGCAGUUAUGACAGGCCAGACAAAGAAAUGCUCGCUGUUGCAAGCAUAAGAAAACUAAAACUGCAAUUGAAAUCUGAAAAACUGCAGAAACACACACAAAAAAGAAUCGAAUUCUAAAAGCCAAACAAAAUUUUAUUAAUACAAGUAAAUAAAUGCGUGUUUACAGAUGCAGAUGUUUAUAUGUAAUUUCGCUUGGAUUUAUCUAAAGCACAAAGAAAUAUGACGUCCAUUAAAGAAAUUAGUUUGGCCGGCAAAACAUAAAGCCGAUGAGCAUAGAAAAAACUCUAAGAGGUAGAAGCAACAAAAAACGACUUUUGAUCAGCAAAAAAGAAGAGCCGAGAAAAUUCCAUUCACAUAACUGUUAAAAUAUAUAUUUAUGCAUAGAAAUAUUACAUUUCGAUAGCGUUGUAAAUAAAUAAAGGAAUUUGCAGCGCCAAGGGUGUGGACUUAUUUGGCUGUGUGUGGGCUCAUUGCCUGCCAAAGCAACAAUAAAGAUAUUCUAGAAUCAUAUUUUUCUUUAUCAUGCAUAAAAUAUGAGUAAAUACAUAUGUACAUACCAAUGUA